GAACCAGCUCGACCAUUUAAAAAGAGUGAAAGAUUUAAAGAAGAGACGUCGGGCCCAGGGGGAACAGGCACGAGCUGAACUCUUGAGCCUAACCCAGAUGGAGAGGGAGAAGAUUGUUUGGGAGUUUGAGCAGCUGUAUCACUCCUUAAAGGAGCAUGAGUAUCGCCUCCUGGCCCGCCUUGAGGAGCUAGACUUGGCCAUCUACAAUAGCAUCAAUGGUGCCAUCACCCAGUUCUCUUGCAACAUCUCCCACCUCAGCAGCCUGAUCGCUCAGCUAGAAGAGAAGCAGCAGCAGCCCACCAGGGAGCUCCUGCAGGACAUUGGGGACACAUUGAGCAGGUAUAGUUUUCUGUUUCCCUAGUGUUAAAUCAAAUAUGAGAAGACUGUCUCCUUCACAUUUGUAAAUCCUGAAAGGAGCCCUGAGCCUGAGGAUGGACAUCUUAUCAAAUUGACACAUAUCCCUGAAGAGAGUCACUAGUAUACAAAGAAUUAGAUGAACCACAGCUCUACUCAGUAAAAUUCAGGAAGUAGGGGGUUCAUGUGGGAGGCUGCCGGUGGAUUAGGGGUAUGAGGACACUUCCAUGGAGAGGGUGUGGCCUUACAGGGACCUGGGCUGAAUAUAAGGGUAGUUUAUGUCUAUUGCUUCCUAUACAUUUCAGAAUCCUUUCCCCCUUCAUUAUCUCAUUUUUUUUUUUUUCUGUAAUGGGGGAAAUAAAGCCUAAGAAAGGUG
This 730-nucleotide unclassified non-coding RNA is filed under the name Homo sapiens (human). RNAcentral's name for it is "tripartite motif containing 27 (ENSG00000229006.7)". Lineage: Eukaryota; Metazoa; Chordata; Mammalia; Primates; Hominidae. The record is from RNAcentral.